RNAcentral lists this ribosomal RNA (230 nucleotides) under uncultured bacterium. RNAcentral describes it as "partial 16S ribosomal RNA". It matches the Rfam family "Bacterial small subunit ribosomal RNA", at positions 562 to 791 of the family's 1533-position model. The record is from RNAcentral.
AAAGCGUGCGCAGGCGGCUUUGCAAGACAGAGGUGAAAUCCCCGGGCUCAACCUGGGAACUGCCUUCGUGACUGCAAGGCUAGAGUACGGCAGAGGGAGAUGGAAUUCCGCGUGUAGCAGUGAAAUGCGUAGAUAUGCGGAGGAACACCGAUGGCGAAGGCAAUCUCCUGGGCCUGUACUGACGCUCAUGCACGAAAGCGUGGGGAGCAAACAGGAUUAGAUACCCUAGU